UAUGUGAUCGUCUCUCGCAUAUCAAUAAGCGGAGGAAAAGAAACUAACAAGGAUUCCCCUAGUAACGGCGAGUGAAGCGGGAAGAGCUCAAAUUUGAAAUCUUAAAGGGUUUCCCUUUACGAAUUGUAGUUUAAAGAAGUGUUUUCUGUUGAGGUUUUGGUAAAAGUUCUUUGGAAUAGGACAUCAUAGAGGGUGAGAAUCCCGUAUUUGACCAUUACUUUUCAGCUGUGUGAUACACUUUCAAAGAGUCGGAUUGUUUGGGAAUGCAGUCCAAAAUGGGUGGUAAAUUUCAUCUAAAGCUAAAUAUUGGCGAGAGACCGAUAGCGAACAAGUACCGUGAGGGAAAGAUGAAAAGAACUUUGAAAAGAGAGUUAAACAGUACGUGAAAUUGUCAAAAGGGAAGCGUUUGACACCAGUGUUGUUUUUCUGAAAAUCAGUUAAAGAACUGUUUAUGCUAAGCUGUUUAGACUUUAUCAGCUAACUGUUUAGUUUUGAGCUUUUCUUUAAUGCACUUUUCAGUUAACAAGUCAACAUCAAUUUCUUUUGCUGUAAAAAAGCUUGAGGAAGGUGGCUUGAGAUUCGUCUUAAGUGUUUAUAGCCUCUUGCCUAUGCAGUCGGAGAGAUUGAGGUCUGCAGCGUAGAUCCUUCGGGGCUAAAUGCAUUUGUGCUAAGUUAUAGCAUUUUAUAGACAACUUGUUGACUAUGAUUUGUCUUGUAGCUUACUCGCUUAUGUUAUUUUACCUACGCUUAGGAUGUUGAGUAGCGACAUACGCAC
Molecule: ribosomal RNA, 775 nt
Filed under: uncultured Neocallimastigales
Lineage: Eukaryota; Fungi; Neocallimastigomycota; Neocallimastigomycetes; Neocallimastigales
Description: partial large subunit ribosomal RNA
Rfam family: Eukaryotic large subunit ribosomal RNA
Source: RNAcentral